GACGAACGCUGGCGGCGUGCUUAACACAUGCAAGUCGAACGGAAAGGCCCCGCUUGCAGGGUACUCGAGUGGCGAACGGGUGAGUAACACGUGGGUGAUCUGCCCUGCACUUCGGGAUAAGCUUGGGAAACUGGGUCUAAUACCGGAUAGGAGCCAUCUUUAGUGUGGUGGUUGGAAAGUUUUUUCGGUGUAGGAUGAGCUCGCGGCCUAUCAGCUUGUUUGUGGGGUAAUGGCCUACCAAGGCGGCGACGGGUAGCCGGCCUGAGAGGGUGUACGGCCACAUUGGGACUGAGAUAAGGGCCAGACUCCUACGGGAGGCAGCAGUGGGGAAUAUUGCACAAUGGGGGCAAGCCUGAUGCAGCGACGCCGCGUGGGGGAUGAAGGCCUUCGGGUUGUAAACUCCUUUCGCUAGGGACGAAGCUUUGUUGUGACGGUACCUAGAUAAGAAGCACCGGCUAACUACGUG
This 466-nucleotide ribosomal RNA is filed under the name uncultured bacterium. RNAcentral's name for it is "partial 16S ribosomal RNA". It matches the Rfam family "Bacterial small subunit ribosomal RNA", at positions 28 to 507 of the family's 1533-position model. The record is from RNAcentral.